This 812-nucleotide long non-coding RNA is filed under the name Citrus maxima (pomelo). RNAcentral's name for it is "long non-coding RNA (CMAX_LNC003495)". The record is from RNAcentral. Lineage: Eukaryota; Viridiplantae; Streptophyta; Magnoliopsida; Sapindales; Rutaceae.
UAAGAUAUAAAAAUCAUGAUCAAUCUCAACAGUAUCCAGUUUGCGAUUUGGGAAAAGAAACUGAAAAAACCAAUCAUUCAAUCAUCUUUCAGCCAAAGAAACAAACCAUAUCUCACCCAAAUGGGGGAAAAGAAAAAACAAAAGAAUGAAUCAUAAAUCACAAAUCAAUUUUGGUAUACAAAUUACUAGUCAUGGUUAUAACUAAAUACAACAUCUCAAGUGAACGAACCUCAACAAAUUAUGAAACGAAACACGAAACAAUCAGCAGUAGCUCAAGUUAUUGGUUUUUAUUCUCUGCAAAAACAGAACAAACCAGAGAAAUGAGAGACAAAAACAGCAGCGAUAUUUACAUAACUCAAGCACAUUAACAAAAACAUGGGAACGAGGAAAAAGAAAUGAACUUUAAACCAAAUUCAUAAAACCGAAACGAAAAAUGGAACUUUUUUGUUCGAUUUUUUGUUCUGCUGAGAGAUUUUGUUGACAAAAACAAAAGAACCCAGAAAUGCUAAAGAGGAAGAGAGAGAAAUCAAUACGUGAUCGUAGUGUUAAAAAAAAAAAAAACCUCACAACAGUAGUCAGAUGGCAGCAGGGGAGCACCGUGACAGCAGCAACAAUUGAUAGUAGGUGACAGCGGCAAGUGACAGUGGCAGCAGCAGCAGAUGACAGCGGCUACAGCAGGUGGUAGCGGCGGCGGAGAGUCGUGAAGGACAAGCAGCAGCAGCAGCGGGGACGAGAUUCCAGCGGCUGAAGGUGCUGCGGCUUCGGUUUUCGGCUGAAGAUCAGAAGAAAUGAAGAAUGUGUUUAGUUUAGAC